Molecule: ribosomal RNA, 291 nt
Filed under: uncultured bacterium
Lineage: Bacteria
Description: partial 16S ribosomal RNA
Rfam family: Bacterial small subunit ribosomal RNA
Source: RNAcentral
GUGUCAGCCGCCGCGGUAAUACGUAGGUGGCAAGCGUUGUCCGGAAUUAUUGGGCGUAAAGCGCGCGCAGGCGGUUCUUUAAGUUGGGUGUCAAAGGCAGCGGCUCAACCGCUGUACGCACCCAAAACUGGAGAACUUGAGUGCAGGAGAGGAUAGUGGAAUUCCCGGUGUAGCGGUGGAAUGCGUAGAGAUCGGGAGGAACACCAGUGGCGAAGGCGACUGUCUGGCCUGUAACUGACGCUGAGGCGCGAAAGCGUGGGGAGCAAACAGGAUUAGAUACCCUCGUAGUCC